RNAcentral lists this ribosomal RNA (301 nucleotides) under uncultured bacterium. RNAcentral's name for it is "partial 16S ribosomal RNA". It matches the Rfam family "Bacterial small subunit ribosomal RNA", at positions 509 to 809 of the family's 1533-position model. The record is from RNAcentral.
CAGUCGCCGCGGUAAUACAGAGGGUGCGAGCGUUAAUCGGAUUUACUGGGCGUAAAGCGUGCGUAGGCGGCUAAUUGAGUCGGAUGUGAAAUCCCCGAGCUUAACUUGGGAAUUGCAUUCGAUACUGGUUAGCUAGAGUGUGGGAGAGGAUGGUAGAAUUCCAGGUGUAGCGGUGAAAUGCGUAGAGAUCUGGAGGAAUACCGAUGGCGAAGGCAGCCAUCUGGCCUAACACUGACGCUGAGGUACGAAAGCAUGGGGAGCAAACAGGAUUAGAGACCCCAGUAGUCCCUGUCUCUUAUCC